UGGGGAAUUUUGCACAAUGGGGGAAACCCUGAUGCAGCGACGCCGCGUGAUUUAGAAGGCCUUCGGGUUGUAAAAAUCUUUUGUAUAGGAAGAAAAUGACAGUACUAUACGAAUAAGGACCGGCUAAUUACGUGCCAGCAGCCGCGGUAAUACGUAAGGUCCGAGCGUUGUCCGGAUUUAUUGGGCGUAAAGCGAGCGCAGGCGGUUAGAAAAGUCUGAAGUGAAAGGCAGUGGCUCAACCAUUGUAGGCUUUGGAAACUGUUUAACUUGAGUGCAGAAGGGGAGAGUGGAAUUCCAUGUGUAGCGGUGAAAUGCGUAGAUAUAUGGAGGAACACCGGUGGCGAAAGCGGCUCUCUGGUCUGUAACUGACGCUGAGGCUCGAAAGCGUGGGGAGCGAACAGG
RNAcentral lists this ribosomal RNA (402 nucleotides) under Bacteroidota bacterium. RNAcentral's name for it is "Bacteroidetes bacterium partial 16S ribosomal RNA". It matches the Rfam family "Bacterial small subunit ribosomal RNA", at positions 355 to 776 of the family's 1533-position model. The record is from RNAcentral. Lineage: Bacteria; Pseudomonadati; Bacteroidota.